Molecule: ribosomal RNA, 403 nt
Filed under: bacterium
Lineage: Bacteria
Description: partial 16S ribosomal RNA
Rfam family: Bacterial small subunit ribosomal RNA
Source: RNAcentral
UGGGGAAUAUUGCACAAUGGGGGAAACCCUGAUGCAGCGACGCCGCGUGAACGAAGAAGGUAUUCGUAUCGUAAAGUUCUGUCCUAUGGGAAGAUAAUGACAGUACCAUAGAAGAAAGCUCCGGCUAAAUACGUGCCAGCAGCCGCGGUCAUACGUAUGGAGCGAGCGUUGUCCGGAAUUAUUGGGCGUAAAGGGUACGCAGGCGGUUUAAUAAGUCGAAUGUUAAAGAUCGGGGCUCAACCCCGCAAAGCAUUGGAAACUGAUAAACUUGACUAGUGGAGAGGAAAGUGGAAUUCCUAGUGUAGUGGUGAAAUACGUAGAUAUUAGGAGGAAUACCAGUAGCGAAGGCGACUUUCUGGACACAAACUGACGCUGAGGUACGAAAGCGUGGGGAGCAAACAGG